RNAcentral lists this long non-coding RNA (964 nucleotides) under Salmo salar (Atlantic salmon). RNAcentral's name for it is "lncRNA (ENSSSAG00000119764.1)". The record is from RNAcentral. Lineage: Eukaryota; Metazoa; Chordata; Actinopteri; Salmoniformes; Salmonidae.
GUGACUAGUGGAUAGUGAUUUAGUUUAAUAUGGAGGUGACUAGUGGAUAGUGAUUUAGUUUAAUAUGGAGGUGACUAGUGGAUAGUGAUUUAGUUUAAUAUGGAGGUGACAAGAGGAUAGUGAUUUAGUUUAAUACGGAGGUGACUAGUGGAUAGUGAUUUAGUUUAGUUUAAUACGGAGGUGACUAGUGGAUAGUGAUUUAGUUUAGUUUAAUACGGAGGUGACUAGUGGAUAGUGAUUUAGUUUAGUUUAAUAUGGAGUUGACUAAUGGACAGUGAUUUAGUUUAGUUUAGUUUAAUAUGGAGGUGACUAAUGGACAGUGAUUUAGUUUAGUUUAGUUUAAUAUGGAGGUGACUAACAGAUAGUGAUUCAGAUUAUUUUAAUACACAGGUGACUAGUGUAUAGUGAUUUAAUUUAAUAUACAACCAAGAGCGAACCUAAAACACAUGGUUGCUUCGAGGGGAAAGGAAAGGAGAGGAGGAGAAGGGAACAGGAAAGGAGAAUAGGAAAUGCGAACAGGAAAGGAGAGGAGGAGAAGGGGAAAGGAUAGGAUAGGAAGAGAAGGGGAAAGGAACGGAGAGGAAGAGAAGGGGAAAGGAACGGAGAGGAAGAGAAUGGGAAAGGAUGAGAAGGGGAAAGGAAAGGAAAGGAAAGGAAAGGAGAGGAGGAGAAGGGAGAAGGGGAAAGGGAACACCUCUAAAAGAGACUGGAAAAGAUUGGUGGAAAAUCAUCUGGGAGGGGUGACUGAUAUGGUUUGUGGUGGUGGUGGUGGUGUUGGGGAGGAGGGAGAGAGAAGGGGGGUGGAUUUUCCACUGCCAGGGAAAGAACGGCUAAAUCAAAUUAAUUAGCUUCUUCAUCUCCAGGCAGCUACUCAGGCAUGCUGUACUGGCAAAGAGAGGGAGAAGGAGAGUGUACACAAGAGAAAGAGUGAGAGUGUAGAGAACUUGGUGGAGGAGUGAAGAGC